Non-coding RNA from Myotis davidii, 692 nucleotides. The record is from the annotation of a RefSeq genome assembly. Lineage: Eukaryota; Metazoa; Chordata; Mammalia; Chiroptera; Vespertilionidae.
GGAGCAGAGUGUGGGGCGUGUGCACCAUGGAUUGGGCUCCCCUGCUCCUCGCCCUCCUGGCUCACUGCACAGGGUCCUGGGCCCAGUUUGUGCUGACUCAGCCCCCCUCUGUGUCGGAGUCUCCGGGACAGAAGGCCGUCAUCUCCUGCACCCGCAGCAGCGGCAGCAUUGGAAGCAACUAUGUGCACUGGUACCAGCAGCGCCCGGGCAGGGCCCCCACCAUGGUGAUCUACAAUGAUAACCAAAGACCAUCGGGGGUCCCCGAUCGGUUCUCUGGCUCCAUCGACAGCUCCUCCAACGCCGCCCACCUGACCAUCUCGGGGCUGCAGCCUGAGGACGAGGCCGACUACUACUGUCUGUCCUAUGGUUAUGACAGCUAUAAGAUAUCCUGGUACCAGCAGAAGCCAGGGAGCCCUCCCCGGUACCUCCUGGAAUAUAAAUCAGACUCAGAGAAGCACCAGGGUUUCGGGGUCCCCAGCCGCUUCUCUGGAUCCAAAGACAACUCGGCCAAUGCGGGGCUCCUGACCAUCUCGGGGCUGCAGCCUGAGGACGAGGCUGACUAUUACUGUGCUGCAUAUCAUAGCGGUGCUCACAGUGAUUCAGAUGACGAGGAAGUGAGACCAAAACCCCUGGCUCCCGCCGUGAUGACUGUCUGCCCUUGGGUGUCAAUCCCAGGAGCCCAUGCAGAGUAA